UACGAAGGGGGCUAGCGUUGUUCGGAAUUACUGGGCGUAAAGGGUUUGUAGGCGGUUAUACAAGUCAGUGGUGAAAGCCCAGGGCUCAACCCUGGAAUUGCCAUUGAAACUGUAUAGCUUGAGAAUGUUAGAGGAAAGUGGAAUUCAUAGUGUAGGAGUGAAAUCCGUAGAGAUUAUGAGGAAUAUCGAUGGCGAAGGCAGCUUUCUGGGACAUUUCUGACGCUGAGAAACGAAAGCGUGGGUAGCAAACAGG
RNAcentral lists this ribosomal RNA (253 nucleotides) under uncultured bacterium. RNAcentral's name for it is "partial 16S ribosomal RNA". It matches the Rfam family "Bacterial small subunit ribosomal RNA", at positions 524 to 776 of the family's 1533-position model. The record is from RNAcentral.